CUCCAUUUAUAGAGGAAGAAAUAGCAUUCCUCUAUUUUUUACUCUACAUUUAAAGAUUGCUAUUUUAGAAGAAUACAUAGGAGCAUAUUUCACCUCUAUUAUAGAGUUCUUCUAUUUUAGAGGUAAAAAUAGCAAAAUAUAUUGGAGAUGGUCUUAAGGCAUCUCCAACAGUACUCUAUAAUUUUCGUUAUAUUCAAUUCUAAAAUAAAAUAAUUUUAUUAUAAAAUUGAAUUUGCUUCAAUAGUUAACUCUAUAACGGAAUAUUGUUUUUUACUUUAAAAAUAGAGUAAAAAAUAACAUUUAUCUAUAUUUCACUUUACAAUAGACUAAUCAUAUUAUAAAAUAAAUUAUUGUAGAAAAUCUAACUCUAAUAGAAUUAUUUAUUUUAGAAUAAAAUAUAGAAAAAAAUUAUAAAUUACCAUUGGAGAUGGUUUUACAAAACCACACAAAUUUGUUCUUAUCUCAAACAUUUUAUAUAUGGAAUUAAAAGUUCCGACCUAAAAAUAUGAACUUUUAAAUAUAAUUCUUCGUAGUGAUUAAAUAUAACUAAAAUCUCCCAAACUAGAAAUUAAAGACUGUGUAACCCAACUACCCAUAUCAUUUUCAUCGUCAUCAAUCCCACUCUCUGCAACGACAUCAACGCCAAAGAUCACUGUCAUCAUCAUGACCUCAUUUUUGCCAAUUUUUUUUAUUAUGGAAACACUAACUUUGUUAAAUUGUGUUUAAAACGAAAAUACAAAAUCAAUAUAUAUAGUAAUGAAUUAAAGUAAUCUAUAACUAUAAACUCGAAAUAUCUGACUUUUUAGGUUGUCCACGUCACUCUGGAAAGGAGAGGCUUUGUUGCCACGUGGCAUUAGUAAAAACAGGCAACAACCGGGUUUAUAACUUUAUCUGGACUGUCUUUGAUUUUUCUUAUUGGCUUUUAGAAUACAAAGACUAAUUUUAUGAAUUUACCUAGGCUAGACUUUUACUUUUAUCUUUCGUUGGGCUUUUAGUUAAACUCAGCUUCAUUUUUUCUGAAAACGACGUAGCCACCGGUCUUGUCGAUGAAUGUUCCAUACCAUCUUCUCCGCCGCAGCUGUGUAACCGGCAUAGGUUGUAUUCAAUCAACCUCAUUUACGAUUGCUUUAACACCACUGACCCACUACUUUGAUAACCUUUGAAGAGUCACCUCCGUAUUCCAAAAGACAAAUCUGCAAUAAGGAGCAAACGUCUCCACUUCGAGCUCUCUUCCGAGCCCUAAUCUGAAGUCUUUUGCGGGUUUCCACAUCUUCGUGGCUGCCAUCAGUAAACCAUACACGAGUCAGCCGCUAAAGCCCCCCCCUCCCCCUCCCCCCUGUAGAACCACCACAUGAAACCUCACCUCCUAAACAAUAUUCGUGCCCAAAUUCAGAUCCACAUAGUCGACGCCAUAUCACACCGGGCUCAUCCAAAGAAUCGCGCACAGAGACAUCACUGAAAGAUAAGGCACGGCGUGAGUAAAAGAAGUACUGACGCAACGAUGCAGAAGAUAAGGAUAUGACGGUAGAACAGGUCGAAGAUGCCACAGUGGAGAUAGAGCUUACCGGCUCUGUAGUAAAAUUCCGGAAAAAAACUAUUUGUAAUUGUUCAACUUGAUGCUCUGUUAUACCUCUGCUUAUGAUUUACGUUUUUUAUAAGUAUAUUCUUAGAACUAAUUCCUUAUCACCUGAUUGAUGAAUUGCUUCCAAAUAAAUGAAUUGCCUUCUGAGUACUGUCUAUUUUGUAUUGUUUUAUGGUUUUCGGUUUUAGAGGACGAGCUUUGGAAGAAGCUCUCCAUUCAACGAGCUUAUAACAUUUUAAGGACAUGAGCGGCAACAAACAUGGUUAUAACAUUACUGUGUAUAUUAUAUGUGUUGGUUAGCAGAUAUCAUGGCGACAAUGAUGACAAAGUUACUAAGACUAAGUACUGUGUCUGGUAAGUUUCAACACAAGAUGCGACAAGCAACGCCUUACUCUGGCUAUACUUAAAGGAUUCUCAGUUCAAUGAAGUGGAGAUAGAAGAGUAUCAGUUCAGAGCGAUAGGUAUUGCACUCGUACUCGACAAUGGAACUCAGGUUCUUCUAUAGUUUUAUAUCCAUUCUUGAGAAGGUCCUUCUCAGAUCAUUAAUUGAUGUAUUUUUAAACCUACAGGUUACUAAUCUAUUUCAAAUUCCAGGAACUCAUUCUAAUUUUUUCUUUGAAUCGAUUAAAUUAAUAUGAACUAAAAUCCUGAAUGGUUUAGUCGAUCACCGUAGAAACUUGCAGUUCAUACACUUUUGCCAGGUUUGUCUGUUGACUUUCUUUGAAAAUUAAUCAAUACUCUAUUCAGAAAUAAAUGCUUAAAUUUCUUCGACUUCAGCUGCCACGUUCAAUAUGUUUUCUUAAGCUGGAUGGUUAUGUUCGGCCUCCUCCUCGCUCUCUUCCCAACCAGACAGUUUCUGUUCUUCUCUGGCUCUUGCACAAAAGAGACUCUUUGAUCCAUUAUACGAUUAGUACGAAGAUGAUUUUGAUUCACACCAUCAUCAUAGAUUAAUACACACCAGAGAAAAAGCCAUAAACUACCUCCAUCAUCAUCAUCGUCAUCACCACCAUCACCAACUCGCCAUGGUGUCAAAACACAUAAUCAUCAUCGUAGGACACACCAGAUACACAGACAACAUCAUCAUCAUGGGCAGUACGAAUACAUUUUGAAGAAGAAGCUUGAUCGUCCUGACCACAACGAGUCUCACUAUUACCAACAACUUCACCGAGUCCAUAAAGAUGACAACCAGAAGCAGCAUAGGCGAGGAGGCAAACAGAGGCAACGUGGGAUGUGAUCGCACGUGCACAUACAAAGGAGAGUUAAAAAGGCCAUUGGCAUGUGGGAAGAAACAUAUUUUGUGUAUGAUAACUAUAGGUUUCACGGAUCUAACUAUCAAAAACCAUAGGCAUUUUUUUGAAAUGACGAAAGCGUUCCUGUCUUCGAUUUCCGAGUAUCUGAAAAACUAUAAUUUACACAGGAUUUUGUUUUGGUCCAUACAACUGUAAAAAAUAAAAAUUAUUACAAAAUAAUAAUAUUUUAGAGCAUAAGAACAACAA
Long non-coding RNA from Brassica napus (rape), 3078 nucleotides. RefSeq lists it as uncharacterized. The record is from RefSeq and is a predicted model, not a curated record. The transcript is spliced from 3 exons. NCBI's taxonomy places the organism in Eukaryota, Viridiplantae, Streptophyta, Magnoliopsida, Brassicales, Brassicaceae.